CAAACGUCACGCCGCGAGCGCCGCGCGCACCCCGCCCGGCCCCGCCCACUCCGGCAUCGCCUCAGCAACCGCGGGGCAGCGGCGGGGCGGGGUUAAGUGGCAGGGCCGGCAGAUUAAAUUUCUCAUCUGCGGUGCUUUAUUUUCAGUGCACGCUUCUUGCAGCAGUAGCCGGAUGGGCAUUUCACACUCUGAAUUGCGCUGUGAGAGUUACUCACGGGCAGGCCGUGAAGCGUAGCACAAGCGUGAGAGUUGAAACAGAUCUGUCACCAGCAAAAGCUGUAAGUGGCAUGACAUUGGUAAAGAGAUAUGGAAAGACAACUGAACUGCUGCAGAUGUGAACUUCAAACAUGACAAGAUUUUUGACUGACAGAAAAGUGGAACAGAGGCAGAAUUCUCCAAGGUGCAGUGUCAGACUAACGAGCAACCUAAGCAAAAAUCUGCCUUUAAGAAGCAUCUCAAUAUGCUCUUCAAGAGGAGUCAGUUCAAAUCCUGGGGUGAUUUUCCUUGCUAUUUUAUUCACACCCCCCUGCCCUUUCUCAGAAUAACACCAGGAUCUAGGACACCAGCAGCUUCUAUUGUUCUGCAAGGUUGUCUCUCCCUCCUGUGACAAGAUGCAGAGUGGAAUACACUUUGAUGUGAAAUGCCUUGGGCUUUCAUCUUAUGAGCUCCCCUAAAAGAUCCAAAAACAUUCCAAG
Molecule: long non-coding RNA, 695 nt
Filed under: Cyanistes caeruleus (blue tit)
Lineage: Eukaryota; Metazoa; Chordata; Aves; Passeriformes; Paridae
Description: lncRNA (ENSCCEG00000006774.1)
Source: RNAcentral